RNAcentral lists this long non-coding RNA (2619 nucleotides) under Homo sapiens (human). Its description in RNAcentral is "HSALNT0352357". The record is from RNAcentral. Lineage: Eukaryota; Metazoa; Chordata; Mammalia; Primates; Hominidae.
GGGAAUCCACAUUAAUAAAGCCACUAUGGAGAAUAGUAUGGAGGUUCCUCAAAAAAGUAAAAAUAGAACUACCAUGUGGUCCAGCAAUUUCUUUACUGGAUGUAUAUCCAAAAUAAAGGAAAUUAAUGUAUCAAAGACAUAUCUACAUGCCGAUGUGUACUGCAGCACUAUUCACAAUAGACAAAAUAUGGAAUCAACGUAAGUGCUCAUCAACAAAUGAAUAGAUUUUAAAAGUCAUAUAUAUACAUAAUGCAAUACUACUCAGAAACAAAGAAGAAUGAAAUUCUGUCAUUCACAGCAACAUAGGUGGCACUGGCCAUUUGGUUUAACGUAAUGAACAUAGGCCAUUAUGUUAAGUGGAAUGAGCCAAGCACAGAAAGGCAAAUACCACAUGUUGUCACUCAUAUGUGGGCAGUAAAAAAGUGGAUCUCAUGAAGAUAGAAAGUAAAUUGGUGGUUGCUAGAGGCCAGCAAGGGGAGUGGGAAGAGGAGAUUAAGAGAAGAAAAUAUAAAUGUAUUUAUCACCACUAAACUGUCCUCUAAAAAUGUACAGAUGGUAAAUUAUAUAUAUAUAUUUUUUAACUCAAUAAAAAGUUAAAAAAAUUCUGCUGUGUGUUUAUAGGGCACAUGUACAAGACUUUCUCUAGGGUUGUAUCAGUUUUCUAUUCCUGCUGUAACAAUUUACCACAAAUUCAGUGGCUUAAAAGAACACAUUUUUGUAAGAUUUGAGUCAGUUUUAAAAAACACACACAGACUUAUUGUCUUAGAAUUGUUUUGGUUGGAAAUCUGGCAUGGCUCUCACUGAACUAACAUCAAGAUGUUGGCAGGCUGCAUUUCUUUCUGAAGGCUCUAAAAGAGCAUCUGGGUUGUUGGCAGAAUUCAGUUCCUUGUGGUUGUAGAUCCUCAGUUUCUUCCUGGUUGUAAACUUUGGGUCAUUCCCAGCUUCUAAAGGUCACUGGCUUUUCUUGGCUUGUGGCCCCCUACCACUGUUUUAAAAGCCAGUAAUAGCAGGCCACAUCUUUCUCAUACUGCCAUCUGUCUGAAUCUCAGCAUCCAGAAAAUAUUCUCUGCUCUCAAGGAAUUAUGAGAUUAGACUGGCUCACCAAGGUAAUUCAAGAUAAACACAAUCUGGGAAACAUUUUAUAAUACAGAGGGCCACACCAGAUUGAAUAUUGCCCCCAGGAAUGAAAUGAAAACAGGAAUGGAUUCUCCAGUAAGAGGUACCCAGAUAUCCUAAUCUUCAGUAGCUGACCUAAACCCUGGACAAGUGGGAUCAAAUCCCAUAACCAAACACAACUUUUUAGGAACUAAGUGGAUAAUCACUCUGUGUUGUAUGAACAUGUGGGCAGUGUGUUUCCUACACAGCUUAAAAGUGCAACAAAAAAAGAUCUAGGUGUCAUAUAAAGAAUUUCUACCACUGUUAGGGUAAUGGUGGACUGACAGGCAGAGGGGCUCAGAUGUGACUUAAGUAAAGUUCAAUAGAAGCUUCCAGCACAGAUAUUCAUGUUUCAAAUUGGACCACUCAGUUAAAAAGUUUUCCCAUUAGACUUCCCCUAAUCAAAUUAGAAAUUAUCUAAUUUUCUAAUAAAGUUUUCCCCAGGCACAAGGAAUCUGUGAACUGGACCUAAAAAAUUCUUCGUAAUGUACUUUUAUUACCAUAAAAGAUGCACAUUUAUUUUAAAAACUUCUCUACACCACUAUCAUAAACCUUUGCACACACUUAUUUCUUUUGGAAGCUAACUUCUGAGUGGUAAUGAAAUAUAUUCUUAAGAAAAAAGUCCGACACAAUGCCUUUGCGUCUUAAAAUAUGUUAAAAUAUUAUUUGAAAAGAGUCAAACAUCUGUCUUUUCAGGGUAUCACAGGGCGUCAAACUGGAAAAUGUGGCACUGCCUGGAGUUUCUACCUGGUGAAGGGUGGCAGACUUUUCUCUUCAGAGGACUCUUGACAGGGUAGCAUCCAUUAUCUUGCCAAUUUACUACAACCUAGGCCCAAUCCUCAGUCUUAUAGGUUCAGAAAUUUAUUUUUAUCAGCAUCAACAGGGUAGCUACAUUGCUUAGAAGCAAACAAAAUUAACCAUGCUUCAAUAGAAAUCAGGAUAUAGAUGUAUUAAUACAGAAUGACAAAUAUAACUGUGACAGAAAUAGGAAUGCCUGUUUAUGGUCAUAUACGGCCAAUACUUUCAUUACAGCCAAACUCAUAUAUGCAGCCAAAUAAGAGGCCCCUGGAUACACAGGGAAUCAGAAUAAAAAAAGAAGAACUGAACAUUUAAUAGUCUUCUUUCAUUCAAUCAAUAAUUUUUUUUAAUUAAGCAACUACUAUGUCUGGGUAACCUUCUAGGUCCUGGGGAUACAGAGGUCUCUGCUUACAGAAGUCAUAUUUGUUUGAAUCAGUGGAUGCAGAACCCAUGAAUAUGGAGAGUCAAUUGCAUUUUAUUAUGCCCAAAGGUAAAUGCAUAAUUUUUCCACACAGCUAAUCUUCUAGCAACCCCAUUGCUGUCCAUGGCAAACAGGCUUAGUUAAUCUCGCCCUUUCCCGUUUCAGGUUCAUUAUACACCAUGGAAUACUAUGCAGCCAUAAAAAAUGAUGAGUUCAUGUCCUUACUAGGGACAUGGAUGAAGCUG